UGUCCAGUAGCACCUUAGAGACCAACUAAGUUUGUUCUGGCUAUAAGCUUUUGUGUGCAUGCACACUUCUUCAGAUACAACCAAGAACAAACUUAGCUGGUCUCUAAGGUGCUACUGGACA
Podarcis lilfordi (Lilford's wall lizard) is the source of this 121-nucleotide non-coding RNA. NCBI's taxonomy places the organism in Eukaryota, Metazoa, Chordata, Lepidosauria, Squamata, Lacertidae. The record is from the annotation of a GenBank genome assembly.